UGUGGGAGCGGGCUUGCUCGCGAUGGCGGUGUGUCAGUCACCCAAUGAUUGGCUGAUCCACCGCUAUCGCGAGCAAGCCCGCUCCCACA
Molecule: unclassified non-coding RNA, 89 nt
Filed under: Pseudomonas gessardii
Lineage: Bacteria; Pseudomonadati; Pseudomonadota; Gammaproteobacteria; Pseudomonadales; Pseudomonadaceae
Source: RNAcentral